This 354-nucleotide ribosomal RNA is filed under the name Triticum aestivum (bread wheat). RNAcentral's name for it is "partial small subunit ribosomal RNA". Lineage: Eukaryota; Viridiplantae; Streptophyta; Magnoliopsida; Poales; Poaceae. The record is from RNAcentral.
AUGUCUUCCUAUCAUCCUGCGUCCGUGAGGCCUGCACAGUCGGUCACGAAGCAGUCCAAGUCACAUGCAUCGAAGCCCCCACCUUCAUCGACAAAGUCAGGUGCACCGAAGCAGCCACACUCGUCGGCAGAUAACAAACUGUUGAAAGGUCUUCGUAAGAAGAUGAUCGGCGAAGAGAGGCCACGGUUUGUGAAGCCUUACGUCUUGUACACCAUUGGCAAGUUGGUUUGCCCAACGACACAACCCUAUGUUAAUCCCAAAUAUUUGGGAAUUGUUAUCGACAUGCAUACUAUAAACUCCAUAAAUUAUGCUAAACUAUCUCUUGACCACUUAAUGUCAAGUGUGACUGUGUGA